This 268-nucleotide ribosomal RNA is filed under the name uncultured Bacteroidota bacterium. Its description in RNAcentral is "uncultured Bacteroidetes bacterium partial 16S ribosomal RNA". It matches the Rfam family "Bacterial small subunit ribosomal RNA", at positions 73 to 339 of the family's 1533-position model. Lineage: Bacteria; Pseudomonadati; Bacteroidota. The record is from RNAcentral.
UAUCAGCUUGCUGAUACCGAUGGCGACCGGCGCACGGGUGAGUAACGCGUAUGUAAUCUACCUGUAACAGAGGGAUAACCCGGAGAAAUCCGGACUAAUACCUCAUAGCACAUAUUAUUCGCAUGAAUUUUAUGUUAAAGAGACUCGGUUACAGAUGAACAUGCGUUCCAUUAGCUGGUUGGCGGGGUCACGGCCCACCAAGGCAACGAUGGAUAGGGGUUCUGAGAGGAAGGUCCCCACACUGGUACUGAGACACGGACCAGACUCC